This 148-nucleotide non-coding RNA is filed under the name Homo sapiens (human). The record is from Rfam by way of RNAcentral. Lineage: Eukaryota; Metazoa; Chordata; Mammalia; Primates; Hominidae.
GCCGGGCGUGGUGGCGGGCGCCUGUAAUCCCAGCUACUUGGGAGGCUGAGGCAGGAGAAUGGCGCGAACCCGGGAGGUGGAGCUUGCAGUGAGCGGAGAUCGCGCCACUGCACUCCAGCCUGGGCAACAGCACAAGACUCUGUCUCAA